GGGAAGGUGGCUCAGUGGUAGAGUGCUUGCCUUGCAUACAUGAGGCCCUGGGUUC
This 55-nucleotide transfer RNA is filed under the name Dipodomys ordii (Ord's kangaroo rat). It matches the Rfam family "tRNA", at positions 1 to 54 of the family's 71-position model. From Rfam's summary of the family: Transfer RNA (tRNA) molecules are approximately 80 nucleotides in length. Their secondary structure includes four short double-helical elements and three loops (D, anti-codon, and T loops). Further hydrogen bonds mediate the characteristic L-shaped molecular structure. tRNAs have two regions of fundamental functional importance: the anti-codon, which is responsible for specific mRNA codon recognition, and the 3' end, to which the tRNAs corresponding amino acid is attached (by aminoacyl-tRNA synthetases). tRNAs cope with the degeneracy of the genetic code in two manners: having more than one tRNA (with a specific anti-codon) for a particular amino acid; and 'wobble' base-pairing, i.e. permitting non-standard base-pairing at the 3rd anti-codon position. The record is from Rfam by way of RNAcentral. Lineage: Eukaryota; Metazoa; Chordata; Mammalia; Rodentia; Heteromyidae.